GACGAACGCUGGCGGCGUGCUUAACACAUGCAAGUCGAACGGAAAGGCCCUGCUUUUGUGGGGUGCUCGAGUGGCGAACGGGUGAGUAACACGUGAGUAACCUGCCCUUGACUUUGGGAUAACUUCAGGAAACUGGGGCUAAUACCGGAUAGGAGCUCCUGCUGCAUGGUGGGGGUUGGAAAGUUUCGGCGGUUGGGGAUGGACUCGCGGCCUAUCAGCUUGUUGGUGGGGUAGUGGCUUACCAAGGCUUUGACGGGUAGCCGGCCUGAGAGGGUGACCGGCCACAUUGGGACUGAGAUACGGCACAGACUCCUACGGGAGGCAGCAGUGGGGAAUAGUGCACAAUGGGCGGAAGCCUGAUGCAGCAACGCCGCGUGCGGGAUGACGGCCUUCGGGUUGUAAACCGCUUUCGCCUGUGACGAAGCGUGAGUGACGGUAAUGGGUAAAGAAGCACCGGCUAACUACGUG
Molecule: ribosomal RNA, 468 nt
Filed under: uncultured bacterium
Lineage: Bacteria
Description: partial 16S ribosomal RNA
Rfam family: Bacterial small subunit ribosomal RNA
Source: RNAcentral